Long non-coding RNA from Ctenopharyngodon idella (grass carp), 3706 nucleotides. RefSeq lists it as uncharacterized. The transcript is spliced from 6 exons. NCBI's taxonomy places the organism in Eukaryota, Metazoa, Chordata, Actinopteri, Cypriniformes, Xenocyprididae. The record is from RefSeq and is a predicted model, not a curated record.
AGGAGAUGCAGAAGAAGGGCCUGGUUGUAAUGAACAUACCUCCAGUUCUCCCGGCCCCCCCGCUGCCUGCGCCCUCUCCAGCUACAUCUGCUCCUCAAAGCCCUGGAGAAGGUGCGGACGAGCCAGACGAGGAGCCAGACCGCGAGCCAUCGUCUGAGGAGAGCUCUGGAGAGUUCUAUCAGAGGUAAAGUUUCACAUCAUCAUUCUCAGAUAACAUGUGCAGCGAUUGGACAUGAUUUCUCUUGAACAUAUUCACAAUCAUUUGAGCACCUGGUUUAUUUUCUUUCAGCACUGAGGGACCGAGGUGGACCGAUGAAGUCAGGGUGGAGAUGUCAAAAAAGGGCCUGUACAAGAAACACUCCAUCGAUCACCCCCUCCUUCGGGGAUUUAAUCGAUAUUUGCGUGUUGACUUGGGCAACAAAAAGAGCAAACAAGAGGUAAGUGAAAGAAAAGAUACCUUUAAGUGUCACCCACACACUCACGCUUUCACACAGAAAAAUAAAGAAAUAAAUGUGAAGACAAAUGCUCUUCUGAACUGUGUGCUGCGGUCACAUGUUAACCUGUGUUAUAUUCAGCCCUGCAGAUUUUAAUGUGAAAUGUAUACUUACAGGUGGAAGAAGUCUCCAGGUUCAUGUAUUACGUGGACCCCAGUGAGCCGAACCUGAAUUUUGUGCGGGAGGUGGAGAAAGUGCGAGAGUACUUCAAUACACUGACCCAGACAAAGCUCUCGAAGCAGACGGUGCUGAACUACUGGAAGAGUCUCAAGAGGUCAGUACUGUGUAACGUAAACAUCUCAUCUGAAUUUCAACUAAUAUUUAUGGGAUGAUUAUUCGUCUUCUGACUGUAACAACCCUUCCUGUCUCUCUCUUCAAGGUUCAUGAGGUACAUUGUUACCAGCACCAGCAUCCGUGUCAAAGAUCCCAGCCUGUACAACGACUGCAAGAGCUUCACUGAUCCUCUGGAUGGCAUACGGGCUGGGAUGUCUAAGAAGGUCAACAAGGAGCAGACACAAAAAAGGUCAGUUUUUUUUUUUUUUUACUCUUUUUUUUUUUUUUUUUUAUCUAUUUAAUGGAAAGCACAGGUGAGUUCAAGUUCAACAUUACUAUUUUUUUUUUUUCCCUCAGGUUCCGCGGCUACGGCAAGGAAAAAUUUCCGGCUGACUGCAUCACAAUCUUGGAUGCUGCUUAUACGGAUUUCCUGGCUGUCAUGGGCAAACUUCAGGGUCCAGGAGCCAUUUCAGGGGAGGAACUCAGCAAAAACGAACGUCUGCUUGUCCUCUAUUAUCUUGAGGCCAUAAUUAUGCUUAAACUUCUACAACGCCCAGGGGUUGUUACGAAUAUGACCGUAAGUGUAUUUUAGUAACAACAGCAUCUUUUAUUUUCCUUUACCCAUAUGCCUCCUGAUCUUGUGCUUCACAGAUGCGUGUACCUUUUGAGUGUUUGUGACGCCUGUCAUUGAAAGCACACAACUGUCUGUUUUCAGGUUGAGGAAUGGAAGGGGAGAACCCGGCAUCCAAACGGAGCUUCCGUGGCGGUGAAGGAGCAUAAAACGGCCGCGUCGCAAAUAGCAGAAGUACCGCUGACUGAUGACCAAGAACAUUGGUUUGGCCUGUACUUCGAUGAGAUUCGGCCGGUGAUGUUACAAGGUAAUAAGUCAGUGGACAAUGCAGCAGCAGAGCAGAGUUUUUUUGUUUCAAGUACUGGAAGGCCAAUUUAUAACCCCUGCAACGACUUGAAAAGAUUCCAUGCCAAAUACAACAUUCCCAGGGUGACCAGCAGCGACGCUCGGACAGCCUUUGAGACGGCUGCUAAAAAUCUGCCGGAGGUGCAGAGGAAUGCGGUGGCACGUCUCUUGGGACACACGCCGGAAACAGCAGAGAAGCAUUACCGGAUGAAAACUCCGGCAGAUGCAUUCCUGGCCAAGGUUGUGGUCGAUGAGCUCACUGCAAAAACACGAGGUGCGUCUAGUGGGGCUUCUGGCCAAGAGAAAAGGAUGGAUGAACAGACGGCGUUUGACUUGCUGGUUCAGUCCUGCCCAGUGACUCUUGACGGGCCUCCUCCGAAAAGGGCACGCAGACACGAACUGUGCGCUGAACACGAGAGGCACUGCUACGACCGCUGGCGCAGCGAGCAGCUCAAGCUGCGUGAACAGCGUGUCCUUGAAUAUUUCGGUCGGUGUCAGCUGUCUGAGUCACAAGUGGAGGCCUGGGUGGAGAAACAAGGAUGGACGUCUAACGUCCCACAGGCUUCCCUAAUACUCAAGAAAUACUCCAAGUAGCCUUGAACAGCUCCCCUGCGGCUCUGUGGGUUACAAAAAUAAAUGUGAGCGGGCUACUUCCAAGCCACAUUAUUUUUGUGCCUACUUUUCAGCCACAAAACACCACCUCUCUUGCUCUCCAAGUUGCCCUGAAUGACUCUGUCUCUUUUUUUAGUACUUUACUCAAAGAUAUGUGAGCGGGCUAAUUUCCAAGCCACAUAUCUCUUCUCUUUGUCUACUUUUUUGUUUUCAGCCACAAAACACCACCUCUCUUGCUCUCCAAGUUGCCCUGAAUGACUCUGUCUCUUUUUUUAGUACUUUACUCAAAGAUAUGUGAGCGGGCUAAUUUCCAAGCCACAUAUCUCUUCUCUUUGUCUACUUUUUUGUUUUCAGCCACAAAACACCACCUCUCUUGCUCUCCAAGUUGCCCUGAAUGACUCUGUCUCUUUUUUUAGUACUUUACUCAAAGAUAUGUGAGCGGGCUAAUUUCCAAGCCACAUAUCUCUUCUCUUUGUCUACUUUUUUGUUUUCAGCCACAAAACACCACCUCUCUUGCUCUCCAAGUUGCCCUGAAUGACUCUGUCUCUUUUUUUAGUACUUUACUCAAAGAUAUGUGAGCGGGCUAAUUUCCAAGCCACAUAUCUCUUCUCCUUGCCUACUUUUUUGUUUUCAGCCACAAAAAAGUAAAAAAAGACCACCAAUACAGAUUUUUUUUUCUUUCAAUAUUCAUAGGCAACUGGAAGUGCACCAGCUACAAAUAACCAAACAUCAGCAGCUCACUCGAGGACCACUACAUGAGGACUCCAGAGAAGAAGAAGAAGAAGACGAAGACGAAGAAGAAGGAGGAGGAGGAUUUGACAGAGGAAGGCGCACGCUGGAUCCAUACGCUGCAUCUCAUUUCGGAGACUGCGUCCUACGGAGGUCGCAUUUGAAGGCUGCAUACGUCAUCAAGGAUGUCUUAUUUAAGAAAAGUAAACGUAAUUAAACAAACUGUUAUUCCUCGUGAGACGUAAAAUACUAUAAUUUCUUUCUUACUUUGCAAUCUAACAGUUAAUUUUUUUUCAAAUGAGACCGCCUCGAUGACAUAUGCAGCCUUCAAAAGUGACCUUCGGAGGACACAGCCUUCAAAACAAGACAGCUAUAAUCAUUAUAUUCUUAUUCUGUACAUACAGAUGCUAUUAUAAUUUUUUGUUCAUGUUUUCAAUCUACGUUUGUCAUUUCUUCUUUUGUUGUUAAUGAUCUGUAUUUGUCAUUAUUCAAGUCUUAUUUGUUGCACUUUAUUAAUCGUGUACCUGUCAUAGGUAUUCAUGUUUAUAUCAGGCAACCAAAAGUUGCAGAGGUCAGAGUGUCAAAAUGCUCAAAGACAAACUAAUUUUGUUAAAACUCUAAUAGAAAGUUGACAUUUUUAUACUUGUAUUGAUUUUUCAUGUUUUUUUUCCUCUGUUGUGCA